AAUAUUGCGCAAUGGGCGAAAGCCUGACGCAGCGACGCCGCGUGGGGGAAGAAGGCCUUCGGGUCGUAAACCCCUUUCAGCAGGGACGAAAUUGACGGUACCUGCAGAAGAAGCGCCGGCCAACUACGUGCCAGCAGCCGCGGUAAUACGUAGGGCGCAAGCGUUGUCCGGAUUCAUUGGGCGUACAGGGCUCGUAGGCGGUUUGGUAAGUCGGGUGUGAAAACUCAGGGCUCAACUCUGAGACGCCACUCGAUACUGCCAUGACUAGAGUCCGGUAGGGGAGUGUAGAAUUCCUGGUGUAGCGGUGAAAUGCGCAGAUAUCAGGAGGAAUACCGAUAGCGAAGGCAGCACUCUGGGCCGGUACUGACGCUGAGGAGCGAAAGCGUGGGGAGCAAACAGGAUUAGAUACCCUGGUAGUCCACGCCGUA
Molecule: ribosomal RNA, 428 nt
Filed under: uncultured marine bacterium
Lineage: Bacteria
Description: bacterial SSU rRNA
Rfam family: Bacterial small subunit ribosomal RNA
Source: RNAcentral